This 2778-nucleotide ribosomal RNA is filed under the name Triticum aestivum (bread wheat). RNAcentral's name for it is "partial small subunit ribosomal RNA". The record is from RNAcentral. Lineage: Eukaryota; Viridiplantae; Streptophyta; Magnoliopsida; Poales; Poaceae.
AUGGAGCUCGCAUGUAGAGUCAUCCUGCUCCUCUUGCUGCCCAUCAACCUUGCUGUCGCCCAAAAUACUUCGAGCGAAGAAGCACAGGAGCUCCAUGUUGGGGUUAUCCUUGACUUGGGGUCCACUGUUGGCAAAAUGGCACGGACCAGCAUUUCACUGGCUAUGGAGGACUUCUAUGAUGUUCAUCGGAACUAUAGCACCAAGCUUGUCCUCCACAUCAGAGAUUCCAUGAGUGAUGAUGUCCAAGCUGCAUCUCAAGCUAUUGACCUGCUAGAGAAUUACAAUGUAGAAGUCAUCAUUGGUCCUCAGAAAUCUUCGCAAGCUAUAUUUAUCUCAAAACUUGGAAACAAAAGUCAUGUCCCGGUCAUAUCCUUCACGGCAACAAGCCCAUCCCUAUCAUCUAAAACUCUUCCAUAUUUUGUGCGAGCAACAAUAAAUGACUCGGCACAGGUAAAUUGCAUUGCCUCCAUAGUUAAAACCUACGGGUGGAGAGAGGUGGUGUCUAUCUAUGAAGACACUGAAUAUGGUAGAGGUAUCAUACCAUACCUUGUUGAUGUGCUACAAGAAGUUGAUGCACGUGUUCCCUACCAAAGUGUGAUCCCUUUGUCAGCAACCAGUGAACAAAUUACUCUAGAACUCUAUAAGCUGCUGACAAUGCAAACGACGGUCUUUGUUGUACAUAUGUCAUUUACCUUGGCCUCCCUCUUCUUUAUAAAGGCAAGAGAAGUAGGGAUGAUGAACAAAGGAUAUGCAUGGAUCAUGACAGAUGGAGUAACCAAUCUAAUAGAUUCACUGAAUCCUUCUGUCCUAGAAUCAUUGAAUGGUGCCUUAGGUGUUGAGUUUUAUGUUCCCAAAACCAAGGAACUUGAUGAGUUUGCCAUGAGAUGGAAUAUGAGGUUCCAGAUUGACAACCCAACCGAUCCACCAUUGAAAUUGAACAUCUUUGGACUAUGGGGAUAUGAUACAAUCUGGGCAGUAGCACAUGCCGCAGCAAAAGUUGGACAUGCAAAUGCCACAUUUCAGAAACCAGGUGCCACAAGAAAUUCAGUAAGUUUGGAAACCUUGGAAACAUCUAAUAAUGGUCCAAAACUGUUGCAAGCAAUCCUGCAGAAUAAAUUUAGAGGCCUCAGUGGCAAUUUUGACCUUUCAAAUAGGCAGCUGCAAAUUUCAACAUUUCGAAUAAUAAAUGUAGUAGGGAAAGGAUGGAGAGAUAUUGGAUUUUGGACAGCACAAAAUGAACUCUCGCAGCAAUUAAAUAAAACCAGACGGGCAACAACACAUCUAAAUCCAGUUAUCUGGCCAGGAGAGUCCAUAGAAGUACCCCGAGGUUUUGAGAUUCCUAUAAGCGGGAAGAAACUUCAAGUUGGUGUGUGCACAAGUGGAUAUCCAGAAUUUGUGAAGGUCGAAAAGGAUCAUAUCACAGGUGCAACUAAAGCAAUCGGUUUUUCAGUGGAUGUAUUUGAAGAGGCAGUUAAGAGACUUCCUUAUGCAGUCCCUUAUGAAUAUGUACUAUUUAGUACCAAGGAUGACGGAAGUAUGGAAGAUUACAAUGAUUUUGUCUACCAAGUUUAUCUUAAGAAAUAUGAUAUAGUAAUUGGAGAUAUAACAAUAAGGUAUAACAGAACAUUCUACGCUGACUUCACUCUGCCAUACACAGAAUCAGGAAUAGCAAUGGUCGUUCCAGUCAGGGAUAGCAUAAACAAGAAUACAUGGAUUUUCUUGAAGCCGCUAGAACCUGGAAUGUGGUUUGGAAGCAUCGUAUUCUUUAUCUACACUGGUGUGGUCGUAUUAAUAUUGGAGUUUCUAGGCAAUAACGAGAACGUCCGUGGACCAAUUCCCAGACAGUUGGGGAUUAUGAUCUUUUUCUCCAUAUUUGAAGAGAAAGAGCUUGUGCAACGCUUUCUGUCCCGGAUAGUUUUGAUCAUUUGGUUGGUUUUCCUGAUGGUACUUACAUCAAGUUACACUGCAAGCUUGACAUCAAUGCUAACUGUACAGCAGCUUCAGCCAACUGUAACAGAUGUGCAUGAGCUCCUAAAAAGUGGAGAAUAUGUAGGAUAUCAUCGUGGCUCCUACGUCAAGGGACUUUUGGAAGAACUUGGUUUUGACAGGUCGAAGAUCAAGCCCUAUAAUUCCCCUGAUGAUUUUCACAAUGCACUUUCAAGAGGAAGCAACAAUGGUGGUAUUGCUGCACUUGUGCAUGAGGUUCCAUACAUUAAACUAUUUCUGGCAAAUCACUGCAAAGGGUACACUAUGGUGGGACCAAUUUAUAAAGCUGCAGGUUUUGGAUAUGCAUUAUCAAAGGGAAAUCCCUUGAUUGGAGAUAUCUCCAAGGCAAUCCUCAACGUAACUGGGGGUGAUACUAUGAUUCAGAUUGAGAAGAAAUGGAUUGGAGAUCGAAACAAUUGCCAGAACUUGGGCCCAGUAACUGGUUCAAGCAGACUCACAUUUGCCAACUUCAGGGGAUUAUUUAUCCUUACUGGAGUUGCUUCAACUUCUUCCCUUUUGAUAGCAUUGAUAAUUUAUUUCUACAAAAAGAAGCGCAAGUCAACAGAGAUUGUGUUAGACAAUGAGAAUCGACCAGAAGAAAGUGGAAUAAAUGAGGAAAAUAGUGAGGCCCAAGAAGUAAAUCAAGGAGAUGAACAAAAUACACAGCAAGCAAGCCAGGGUGAAAGUGGGCUAGAAGAACAAAGCAGUUUAGAAGUGGUAUCUGAGACAACUGACAGACAAGCAUUGUUAUGCCCAACAAUGGGCCAACUGUCGUUUUCAGGGGUAAAAUAG